UGCCCAGUGAAGUUUAAACGGCCGCGGUAUCCUAACCGUGCAAAGGUAGCGUAAUCACUUGUCUUAUAAAUGAAGACCUGUAUGAAUGGCUAUAUGAGUAUUUUACUGUCUCCUUUAACUAAUCAGUGAAACUGAUCUUUCAGUACAAAAGCUGAAAUAUUAAUAUAAGACGAGAAGACCCCGUGGAGCUUUAAAUUUUUAACAAAGCAUUACAAAAGGCGCUUAUGGUAAAAAAUUUUUAGUUGGGGCGACUUUGGAGUAAAAUUUAACCUCCAAGAAAAGGUACUACCUAACUUUAGGCUUACAAGCCAAACUAUAAAGACCCAGUACUACACACUGAUCAACGAACCAAGUUACCCCGGGGAUAACAGCGCCAUCUUCUUCAAGAGUUCAUAUCGACAAGAAGGUUUACGACCUCGAUGUUGGAUCAGGACACCCAAAUGGUGUAGCCGCUAUUAAAGGUUCGUUUGUUCAACGAUUAACAGUCCUACGUGAUCUGAGUCCCAGAC
Molecule: ribosomal RNA, 509 nt
Filed under: Anolis oxylophus
Lineage: Eukaryota; Metazoa; Chordata; Lepidosauria; Squamata; Anolidae
Description: partial large subunit ribosomal RNA
Rfam family: Bacterial large subunit ribosomal RNA
Source: RNAcentral